Molecule: long non-coding RNA, 465 nt
Filed under: Chrysemys picta bellii (western painted turtle)
Lineage: Eukaryota; Metazoa; Chordata; Testudines; Emydidae
Description: lncRNA (ENSCPBG00000016742.1)
Source: RNAcentral
CAAAAUCUGGAUUCACCCCGUCUCCUCUGGAAAGUCUCUCCAAAGCCACAUCCUCUCAGAUUCAUUGGCGAGUCUGGAGUCCAUAUUGGGAUAGACGAACACUGUUUUCAAUUUUUCGCUCUCUUUUUUUAAAGGUCACCCUGGCGGUAUUUUAAUUCAUCCCGUCGUAUGGAAUCCCGCUGCGACCCGCGCACAGACCAAGAGUGCCACCGAAGAGAUGCUGCUGAAGAAUGCUGGACAUGAAAAUGAGUUGAACAUUAUGAAAUCUCCUGUCCCUCUGGGUUGGCAAUCAGUGGUCAUCUACCAUCAUCUCAGAGGAAAACCAGAAGAGCUCCACUCUAACUUCUGUAAGGGUUAGUCCAUUAUGGAAGAUCAAACAAUUUUCUGGCGCUGGUUUUGUGAAAUUCGGCUGCUGCCUUGGACCCUCCAUUUGAAAAAGAAAUUAACGUUGAGGAACAAAUAAAG